This 63-nucleotide transfer RNA is filed under the name Cordylochernes scorpioides. Its description in RNAcentral is "tRNA-Gly". The record is from RNAcentral. Lineage: Eukaryota; Metazoa; Arthropoda; Arachnida; Pseudoscorpiones; Chernetidae.
CCAUCGGUGGUUCAGUGGUAGAAUGCUCGCCUGCCACGCGGGCUUCGAUUCCCGGCCGAUGCA